UGGGGAAUAUUGGACAAUGGGCGAAAGCCUGAUCCAGCCAUGCCGCGUGUGUGAAGAAGGUCUUCGGAUUGUAAAGCACUUUAAGUUGGGAGGAAGGGCAUUAACCUAAUACGUUAGUGUUUUGACGUUACCGACAGAAUAAGCACCAGCUAACUCUGUGCCAGCAGCCGCGGUAAUACAGAGGGUGCAAGCGUUAAUCGGAAUUACUGGGCGUAAAGCGCGCGUAGGUGGUUUGUUAAGUUGGAUGUGAAAUCCCCGGGCUCAACCUGGGAACUGCAUUCAAAACUGACUGACUAGAGUAUGGUAGAGGGUGGUGGAAUUUCCUGUGUAGCGGUGAAAUGCGUAGAUAUAGGAAGGAACACCAGUGGCGAAGGCGACCACCUGGACUAAUACUGACACUGUGGUGCGAAAGCGUGGGGAGCAAACA
Molecule: ribosomal RNA, 427 nt
Filed under: uncultured bacterium
Lineage: Bacteria
Description: partial 16S ribosomal RNA
Rfam family: Bacterial small subunit ribosomal RNA
Source: RNAcentral